GGCAGACGGGUGAGUAACACGUGAACGACCUACCCUUGAGUGGGGAAUAACACCGCGAAAGCGGUGCUAAUACCGCAUAAAAUCUUAGGGCUGCAUGGCCUGGAGAUCAAAAGCGCAAGUUGCUUGAGGAGGGGUUCGCGGCUGAUUAGCUAGUUGGUGAGGUAACGGCCCACCAAGGCAACGAUCAGUAGCCGGCCUGAGAGGGCGAACGGCCACACUGGAACUGAGACACGGUCCAGACUCCUACGGGAGGCAGCAGUGGGGAAUUUUGCGCAAUGGGCGAAAGCCUGACGCAGCAACGCCGCGUGGAGGAUGAAGGCCUUCGGGUCGUAAACUCCUGUCGAUGGGGAAGAAGUACUAGCGAUAGUAUUGACUGUACCCGUUGAGGAAGCCACGGCUAACUCCGUGCCAGCAGCCGCGGUAAUACGGAGGUGGCAAGCGUUGUUCGGAAUUACUGGGCGUAAAGGGCGCGUAGGCGGCAUUACAAGUCAGAUGUGAAAGCCCCGGGCUUAACCUGGGAAUUGCAUCUGAGACUGUAUAG
RNAcentral lists this ribosomal RNA (541 nucleotides) under uncultured Bacillota bacterium. RNAcentral describes it as "bacterial SSU rRNA". It matches the Rfam family "Bacterial small subunit ribosomal RNA", at positions 97 to 640 of the family's 1533-position model. The record is from RNAcentral. Lineage: Bacteria; Bacillati; Bacillota.